Molecule: long non-coding RNA, 1496 nt
Organism: Scylla paramamosain (green mud crab)
Lineage: Eukaryota; Metazoa; Arthropoda; Malacostraca; Decapoda; Portunidae
Exons: 3
Source: RefSeq, a predicted model, not a curated record
CUGAUGAAUCACAGAGCGUGAUGAUGAUGAUGAUGAUGGUGAUGAUGGUGAUGAUGAUGACGAUGACGAUGAUGGUGAUGAUGGUGCAAGAAAAAUUAUAUAAGCCGCUUUGUAGUAUUCGUCCAAAAGACUGGGAUCACUUAAUGGCAUCAUGGUUUGGCUCAGGCACACCAUUCAGCCAAUCAGAGAUGCCUAUCAGCGGAUCCAAGACGGCUUGACUAAUCACGACUGUCCUUGCAUACUAGUACGUGCCCUAUCGCGUGCAGGCAGUAGAGGCGACAUCUCGAGGCGUCGAGAGGAUAGAGCCUUGGUGACCGCCGCGUUUGUCUUCCUCAUCAGGUAGUGCCGUGUCGCGUGGGUUUCACAGGCUUUGUUUUAUUUCUUAAGUGAAUAAAUUCUGUGGCGUGGACGGACGUGUGGUGUGUCACGACGAUCAGGAUAGAGAUGAGGUGUGUGUACGUGUGUUUGCUGGUCGUCCCCUUCCCCCUCCCCACGUAGCCCGCCAGCAGCCCGCCAUCCGCACCCGCCGCCUCUGGAAAGCGAAGUGGCGAAGAGAGAAAAAUGGCGACAAGGACGAAGGGAGGAAGACGAUGGCAAGAUUGCAAUUUUGGCUGACCGGUGCACGGUGGGGAGAGCCAAUCACUACAUUGAGGGGCGUCUCGGUCAAGGCAAGUCUUCAUGACGCAAGAGGUGUCCUUGGUAACCUGCACAAUGCAACGCACCUGGAAAAGUGUUUGUCCACCAGCAGCACUUCCCACAUAGGCAGCCUUGGUCGUAGUCCUCACGUUUGUAUGAAAAUUGUUGGCGUACCUAAAAUCAAUCGAUGAACCACGUAUGGGUCGUAUGGAAGAACCUUGAUGUAUUGAUAGUGUUUUAGCUUGAAGUUAUUGUGUAUCACAGUCAUCUCCAUAACAGGAAUAAAAUGUAAAUGAAAAUAAAUGGAAAAAUUAAUAGUUGCGUGCGUAAAUGGUCAAAUAUGUGGAUGGAUGGUUAAGUGGAUGGACAAAUAGGUAACUUAAUAUACUCUCUCUCUCUCUCUCUCUCUCUCUCUCUCUCUCUCUCUCUCUCUCUCUCUCUCUCUCUCUCUCUCUCUCUCUCUCUCUCUCUCUCUCUCUCUCUCUCUCUCUCUCUCUCUCUCUCUCUCUCUCUCUCUCUCUCUCUCUCUCUCUCUCUCUGACCCACACACACACACACACACACACACACACACACACACACACACACACACACACACACACACACACACACACACACACACACACACACACACACACACACACACACACACACACACACACACACACACACACACACACACACACACACACAAACUUAAUUCAAAGUCCCACGCAGUCAUCAUGGCCCGCGGGAUCGCUCCUCCUCGCAUCCCUCGCCUCCACUCACCGUCACCCUCACUGGAUGGAGAGGCGCCGCUUCCCACCACACACAAAGUUCCCUGACAUUUGUAAAUAUCAGGCACCUCAAAUUGAAAUGAA